This 422-nucleotide ribosomal RNA is filed under the name uncultured bacterium. RNAcentral's name for it is "bacterial SSU rRNA". It matches the Rfam family "Bacterial small subunit ribosomal RNA", at positions 355 to 774 of the family's 1533-position model. The record is from RNAcentral.
UAAGGAAUAUUGGACAAUGGAGGCAGCUCUGAUCCAGCCAUGCCGCGUGAAGGAAUAAGGCCCUAUGGGUUGUAAACUUCUUUUAGACGGGACAAAACCCCUUUACGUGUAAAGGGUUGAUGGUACUGUCAGAAUAAGCAUCGGCUAACUUCGUGCCAGCAGCCGCGGUAAUACGAAGGAUGCAAGCGUUAUCCGGAAUUAUUGGGUUUAAAGGGUGCGUAGGCGGACUAAUAAGUCAGUGGUGAAAGCCUGCAGCUUAACUGCAGAAUUGCCAUUGAUACUGUUAGUCUUGAGUACAGUUGAGGUAGGCGGAAUGUGUCAUGUAGCGGUGAAAUGCUUAGAUAUGACACAGAACACCGAUUGCGAAGGCAGCUUGCUAAGCUGUAACUGACGCUGAGGCACGAAAGCGUGGGGAGCAAACA